This 339-nucleotide long non-coding RNA is filed under the name Hordeum vulgare. RNAcentral's name for it is "long non-coding RNA (HVUL_LNC007497)". Lineage: Eukaryota; Viridiplantae; Streptophyta; Magnoliopsida; Poales; Poaceae. The record is from RNAcentral.
AUUCCUGAAUUUUUACGCAGCUCCGUGUUGCUCUUGGCACUCUGCAGAGUGAGGGCUCCGUAUUUGUCCACGGAGACAGUUUCAAGAGGACCUGAUGUGUUUGCCCAUGGCGACGUUGUAGCCAGCAUCAACUGAACCUACCAUGCUCCCGUCUCUUCUCUUGUAGCGACGUUGUAGCCAGCAUCAACUGAACCUACCAUGCUCCCGUCUCUUCUCUUGUAGAGCUGGGUGCUAACCUGUUUGGUCUUUUAAUGGCCCUGACUUCUAGAUGGAGGUCUAUCCUGUGCCUUAGAUUUCUUAAGUUGCUCUUGGGAUUGUUGUGUUUACAUGAAGACAUAU